This 288-nucleotide ribosomal RNA is filed under the name Pseudomonas sp. CC24. Its description in RNAcentral is "partial 16S ribosomal RNA". It matches the Rfam family "Bacterial small subunit ribosomal RNA", at positions 46 to 334 of the family's 1533-position model. Lineage: Bacteria; Pseudomonadati; Pseudomonadota; Gammaproteobacteria; Pseudomonadales; Pseudomonadaceae. The record is from RNAcentral.
AGGCCUAACACAUGCAAGUCGAGCGGAUGAGGGGAGCUUGCUCUCUGAUUCAGCGGCGGACGGGUGAGUAAUGCCUAGGAAUCUGCCCAGUAGUGGGGGACAACGUUUCGAAAGGAACGCUAAUACCGCAUACGUCCUACGGGAGAAAGUGGGGGAUCUUCGGACCUCACGCUAUUGGAUGAGCCUAGGUCGGAUUAGCUAGUUGGUAGGGUAACGGCCUACCAAGGCGACGAUCCGUAACUGGUCUGAGAGGAUGAUCAGUCACACUGGAACUGAGACACGGUCCAG